RNAcentral lists this unclassified non-coding RNA (997 nucleotides) under uncultured Bordetella sp. Its description in RNAcentral is "partial 16S-23S ribosomal RNA intergenic spacer". It matches the Rfam family "Bacterial small subunit ribosomal RNA", at positions 495 to 1499 of the family's 1533-position model. The record is from RNAcentral. Lineage: Bacteria; Pseudomonadati; Pseudomonadota; Betaproteobacteria; Burkholderiales; Alcaligenaceae.
UAUUAAUCACGUGCCAGCAGCUGCGGUAAUACGUAGGGUGCAAGCGUUAAUCGGAAUUACUGGGCGUAAAGCGUGCGCAGGCGGUUCGGAAAGAAAGAUGUGCUGUGAAAUCCCAGAGCUUAACUUUGGAACUGCAUUUUUAACUACCGAGCUAGAGUGUGUCAGAGGGAGGUGGAAUUCCGCGUGUAGCAGUGAAAUGCGUAGAUAUGCGGAGGAACACUGAUGGCGAAGGCAGCCUCCCUGGGAUAACACUGACGCUCAUGCACGAAAGCGUGGGGAGCAAACAGGAUUAGAUACCCUGGUAGUCCACGCCCUAAACGAUGUCAACUAGCUGUUGGGGCCUUCGGGCUCGGUAGCGCAGCUAACGCGUGAAGUUGACCGCCUGGGGAGUACGGUCGCAAGAUUGGAAACUCAAAGGAAUUGACGGGGACCCGCACAAGCGGUGGAUGAUGAUUAAUCUGAUGCAACGCGAAAAACUCUUACCUACCUUGACAUGUCUGGAAUCCCGAAGAGAUUUGGGGAGUGCUCGCAAGAGAACCGAACACAGGUGCUGCAUGGCUGUCGUCAGCUCGUGUCGUGAGAUGCUGGGUUAAGUCCCGCAACGAGGCAACCCUUGUCAUUAGUUGCUACGAAAGGGCACUUAAUGAGACUGCCGGUGACAAACCGGAGGAAGGUGGGGAUGACGUCAAGUCCUCAUGGCCCUUAUGGGUAGGGCUUCGACGUCAUACAAUGGUCGGGACAGAGGGUCGCCAACCCGCGAGGGGGAGCCAAUCCCAGAAACCCGAUCGUAGUCCGGAUCGCAGUCUGCAACUCGACUGCGUGAAGUCGGAAUCGCUAGUAAUCGCGGAUCAGCAUGUCGCGGUGAAUACGUUCCCGGGUCUUGUACACACCGCCCGUCACACCAUGGGAGUGGGUUUACCAGAAGUAGUUAGCCUAACCGUAAGGAGGGCGAUUACCACGGUAGGAUUCAUGACUGGGUGAAGUCGUAACAAGGUAG